RNAcentral lists this non-coding RNA (62 nucleotides) under unclassified sequences. The record is from RNAcentral.
UAUCGACUGACCUAGCAGACAAGCCGAGACAAUAGAACUUAUUUCCGUAGGAGGAAAUUAUG